RNAcentral lists this long non-coding RNA (2980 nucleotides) under Homo sapiens (human). Its description in RNAcentral is "HSALNT0154031". The record is from RNAcentral. Lineage: Eukaryota; Metazoa; Chordata; Mammalia; Primates; Hominidae.
AAUUUGGAGAUGAUUUUAUCUUUUAAAAUUAAAUUUGAGAGUAGUUUUAUCAACUAUUGGAUAGUGUUACCUGUUAAUGAUUCCUUGUCUCCUGAGUUAAAUGAAGAUUCAUGGUGCCUUUUCUGUCCUAAACUUUUUCCAGCUCUUUGGUAGAAAUAAAGGCUGUUGAAUUCUUUUUGAUUUGCAUUAGAAUCAGAAGCACGAAAUAAAUCCAAACUGGGGACAGAUGGUAAUUCUCUCCAGAAAGUCUCAUCUUUUGAACUUUCACAUGUGAGGCCUUCAGACUCAUCUGAUAGACAUUUUUGCUGAUCAGUGAAUAAAUUACCUUUCUGAGAGUACAAUUUGUUACAUGCAGUCUGCUGUGCACCAUAUUGUAAGUUGAACGGGUGAUUCUCUUGUUCCCAUAUAUUUUUCUUAAAGUUCCAAUGAAGAGGAGAUUGAGUGCCCUCUAGUGAAAAGAUAGGGUCCGAUACAUCUUUAUUUAUGAAACCUUUUGCUUCAUGUGUUCUCCUUUUCUGAGAAUUUAUAAAACGGGGGACAACUGACACUCUCUUCUGAGUGUCAGUUGGUGAUUUUAUAGUUUCACAGUUCAUUUGUGUUAGACCCAAAGAAAAGACAUCUGACUCUGAAUCACUGUGGUUUAGAAAGGAGUUAUAAGCCGGUCUCCUUGAUUCUAUAUUAAUUAGAAAAGGAGUAUUCUGCCCUAUAUUAGAUUUACAGCUGGAGUCUUUCCAGUAGCUGGUCUGAUUGUAUGAAGUCACAGGUGGUAAAAAACUUGAGAUUUCUUUUAGUUCCAUAAUGGAAGAGUUGUCAUUCAAAAUGGUGGUUUUGUCUUCCUGCACUGUCUCUCCUAAUCCUAAAUACUGAUAAUAUUCAUUAUGUUCUUGAAUGACAGAGUCUAAAUCAGAAGCUGAACUUUGAGAAGACAAGGUACUAAUCUGAUUCCUAUUUUCCUGAGGUGACGAAAUUUGCGGUGAUUUUGUUAUGGAAGAAGAACCAAUCUUGAAUAGGGAAGUGAUGCUACAAAAAUGCUAAAAAAUGAAUUAAUAUAAUGCAAAUGUCAGUUUAGUAAAUAUAAAUAAUGAUGCUUAUCUAUAUGGAAAGAAGGCAAAAUAUAAAUAGGUAGUCUAUUCAUAGAUAUUACAUUGAUCCAGGUAUUAAGAACAUGAAAUCAUUAGGCUCUAUUAAAAGAAAAAUUCAUUGUAAUUCAUACUUAUUUUCUAAUCACUUGUAAUAGAAUUUUUAAUAGUCUAUUUUUCAGAACAAUUUUAGGCUCACAGCAAAUACAAUAGAAUUUUAGUUAUACAAUUCAUACAUGAAUACUAUUUCCUUGAUAAGAAUUUUAAAAUAUUACCAGUAAGGCUAAAGUUAUCUUUACAGCUAGAAUUAAGGGUAUGUUAGGACUGUUUGGAAGAGGUAACGUAAAUACAUGUGAAUAGGGUAUAUAACUGAAUUUUCUAUGAGCACAAUAAUAUUCCAAAAUGAUUUAAAGCUGACUAUAUUGAAUUUAUCUGUAUAAAAUAGCUUUAGAAUGUAUAAUAUAGGCUGGGGUUUAUGGCUCAUGCCUGUAAUCCUAGCACUUUGGGAGGCCAAGGCAGUUAGAUCACUUGAGGUCAGGAGUUUGAGACCAGCCUGGCCAACAUGGUAAGACCCUGUCUCUACUAAAAAUACAAAACUUAACCAGGUGUGGUGGUGCACAACUGCAGUCCUAGCUGCUCGGGAGGCUGAGGCACGAGAAUUGCUUGAACCCAGGAGCUGGAGACUGCAGUGAGCCGAGAUCAAGCCAUUGCACUCCAGCCUGGGUGACAGAGGGAGACUCCAUCUCAAAAAAAAAGAAAAAAAUACUGUAAUCCCAGCACUUUGGGAGGCCAAGGUGGGUGGAUCACCUGAGGUCAGGAGUUUGAGACCAGACUGACCAAGAUGGUGAAACCCCGUUUCUACAAAAAAAAAAAAAAAAAAAAAAAAAAUCAAAAUUAGCCAGGCAUGGUGAUGUAUACUUAUAAUCCCAGCUACUUGGGAGGCUGAGGCAGGAAAAUCUCUUGAACUUGGGAGGUGGAGGUUGCAGUGAGCUGAGAUUGUACCAUUGCACUCCAGCCUGGAAAAAUAAAUAAAUAAAAUAAAAAAUAAAAUAAAAUGUAUAAUUGAUAGCUAAUGAAACGUCUAUAUGAAAUUUAGUUCAAGUAAAUUAUUUCCUUGCUAUUUGAAGUCCAAAACAAUUAAACUUGGAUACCUUCAUUUUAAAAAUCCUAUUGUAAAAAUAGAUACUCAAAUCGAAAGGAAAUAAAUUCAUAUCAUAGUACAGAUCUCAAAUAACUAACCUUUAACACUUUUUCUGGGACUUCAGGUAGGAGUUCCUGAAGUUGACACAGAGUUGCUAAUAAUAUCCAAUGCAGUGAAGGUCCUUUAUUUAGCAUGAGCUGAGCCACCAAUGGGUUAAUACAUGGAAAAUCAAGUAAGUACAUUUCUUCCUAGAAAAGAGUUUAAGAAAUAAUCAGUCAGUAGUCUUUUGAAAGUGAGCCAUUUUAUUCUACAAGUAAGUACAUUUCUUCCUAGAAAAGAGUUUAAUAGUCAGUAGUCUUUCGAAAGUGAUCCAUUUUAUUCUACUCGUUGCAGCAGAUUAAAACUUUUGUUAUUGCACCUACCACUCAAUUUGAGACAUUUGGGGGAAAAAUGUUACCAGAAAGUAAAUUCAAAUACAGGUUUUUAUAUUUGCUUUGCAAUUAUCUAUUUUACACAUUUAGAAAAUAUACCUCAGAUGGUGAAACUUUAAGCCAGGAUUUAUCCAACCAUUCAUGAGGAUCUCUCUUUGAGGUCAUUAAACUGUGGUCAGCAAUUUGUCGAAUUAUCAAGGCAGUUGCUUCUACUCCUGGGGCAAUUAUAAGCUAAAAAAUAUUUUUUAUGUUAGAUUAUAGGAAAUACUAGGAAGCAAAAUAUAAUAUUUUUUAAACAGUUUGUAAUUAGAAGAUAAAAUUAAACAACA